CGCCGAGAGACCAUAUUUUCGGAACAAUGAACCAUCGCCUCCACCGCUAAUGGACCCACCAAUUCCUACAGUGCGGAAAACAGGUGCUGGGAAGGAAAGGUUCGUGCUUCGUUCAUUGAUUCUGUAGUAUACUUCACCCACGGUUGCACCUGAUUGAACCCACGCCUCUUCGUUUUCGACAUCAACAUCGACUGAUCGCAAAUUAACCAAAUCGAUAACAACAAAUGGGACAUGGGAGACAUAGGAAAGACCUUCGAAGUCAUGACCACCACUUCGAGUUCUAAUUUCUAGGCCAUGCUUUUUGGAGCAAUAAAUCGUUGCUUGAACAUGGGAAAUGUUCAAUGGUGUUACAAUAACCAAUGGUUUGGGGGUAUUAGGCGUAGAGAACCUCUGAUUCCUAAUGGAAGAAUCCAAAAGUGCUGAAUAUGAAGAGUUCGUUUCAGUGUAGAUAACUUGAGUAAUGGAAGAGGAUUCCUUGGGAUGAUAUGAAUAAAGGCAUUCAAAAAAAUCAUCGUGGCUAUUAGCUGAAGCACUCACCCAUAACAAUGAGCAAGCAACAAUGAAAAGCAAUGACAGAGAACGGUGAAGGGACUUCAUGUUUAUGGAAGUGAUGAAUUUGUGAAGAUUUCAGCAAGAUAUUCCCCUUAUUUAUAGAGGCAAUGCUUUGAGCCGCCGUGUGAACAAAAGUUCAAGAAACCCAGGUAUUUGAAGUCAAUUCAUAUAUAAUAAUGGCACAGGCUGCUCAAAACUUUCGUAUUUAUGUUUUUUUUUAUAUUGAUAAUAAUAUAACAUUAACUAAAUUAGGACCCAAUCAAUUCUUUUUUUUUUUAAUUUAGAAACUACCACUUAAAAUAAUAUUUGAAUUUAAAUUUUAAAAUUAUUAUUCAUUGUGGAUUCGAAGCGGUCAACAAGAUAUUCCCCUUAUUUAUAGUGUCAAUGCUUUGAGCCGCCAUGUGAACCAAAGUUCAAGAAACCCAGGUAUUUGAAGUCAAUUCAUAUAUAAUGAUGGUACAUGCUGCUCAUUUCCUUGUCUAAUUAAAUUGGGUUUUUUAAUCACUCAAAUUUAUUCCAAAACAAUGGUAAAAAAAAUAAAUUUCUCUAUAACUGGUGUCGUAACUUGUGAACCAAACACAAUAUCUCAUCCCUAUUCUUAAAUACUCAACACUUUCGUAUUUAUGUUUUUUUUAUAUUGAUAAUAAUAUCAAUAUUAAUUAAAUUAGAACUCAAUCAGUUCCUUUUUUUUAUUUAGAAACUAUCAUUUGAAAUAAUAUUUGAAUUUAAAAUUUAAAAUUAUUAUCCAUUGUGGAUUCGAAGCGGAUGCAGAUAGAUACCUUAAAUAAUAAAUAUUCAUUAUUCAAAUCCACAUUACUUAUGCUUAUAAUUUUGAUUUUAUAUAGAUAAAUAAUUUUAGGGUGUUCAAUUUUAAUUUUUUUUAUAGAUUCAGAUAUUCAAAAAAUAUUGAAUUUUUUUAGAUUAUAAAUUCGAAUAUUAAUACUCAUAUAAUAUUAAAACAUAUUUACGAAAUCGAAAUUUAUUAAAUUUUUUUUGGUGAAAAGAAAAAAUCCUAAGAUUCUUUUACAAAAGCUAACAUUCUCUUAGUCAAUGUUUAAACUAUUCCUUGGAAAAUAAUAUGAAGUCUUACUCCUAGAUGAUUCACUACUACUAACUUUGUUGUACUGCUUUGCCCAGCUUGUUGAGACUUUAAUAACUUCCAUAGAACUCUAUGAGAGUCCUUGGGAGACAAAAAGGUUUCUGUUUUUCCAUAAUUGCCAUAUUAGGAUUCCGAAAAGUGUGGGCCAAAGGACUUUGUGGCUUGUUAGUUGACCAUAAGUUCCUAAAUUUCUCUUAAUUGUAACACCCCAUACCCAGCCUAAGAGUUAGGCCCGAAUCUGGCAUGUCACAUUGAAGUAUUUUUCAAAAACCAUGUUUUCAUUAAAAACCCUUCUUGAAAUUUCAAACUUCUUGCCAUUUAAAACUUGUAUAAAACUUCUGUUUGCGUUUUUUUAUUUUCAACCGAGGUUUAUUAAAAAGUUAUUACCUUCAAAACUUCUUGCCAUUUAAAACUUGUAUAAAACUUCUGUUUGCUUAAUUUAAAGCAAAUGAUUUACGAAAACGUGAUAUUUAUUAAUUGAGGUGUGGAAACGUAGUGUUAGAAAACAGUUAUUGUUUUGGAAAAUCGUGUUCUACUUCCAGCAGAUAUAAAUCACAAUCACAUCAAAUUCCAAAUUUAAAAUCCAGAUAUUAUAGAGGCCUUAUUACACCCCAAAUCAAAAUCAAAUUUGCUUUAGUAAAUGAGCAAAACAGAAUAAAACUUAUGUAGUUGUGUGGCCCUCUCUGAGUCCCUCGCAGCUCCAAACCAUCUAACGCUAGGGAUUACUUGAAAGGUUAUAAAAAAAGGGGUGAGUUUACGAAAACUCAGUGUGCAAUCCCCUAAAUAAAGAAACAGUCAGUAUACAGAAACAAAAACAGUUUGGGCCUGAGCCCUUUGACAGUAACAGUACAGUGUGGGCCUUAGCCCUAUACAAAAACAGUGUAGGCCUAAGCCCGACACAAUAUCAGUAUGCUGUAAGUAUGCAAACCCAUCCCAAUCCAGCCAACAUACCACCCAUACCAACCCAACACACCAUGUGGGGAUAGAGUCAACCCAUCCAGCCCUCACACUAAUAUCGCAGCAUAGCUGCCAGUAGUAAUAAUGCAGCAGAGCUGCCAGUAGUCAGAAUGGCUAAAAGCCGUAAACAGGAUAGCUAUAAGCUAUAAACAGAAUGGUAAUAUGAUUGGCACAAAGCCAUCAGUAGCAGUGUUAUGAUCGGUACACAGUAAUCAGUAACUGUAAUAUGAUCGACACAAAGCCAUCGGUAAUGGUAAUAUGAUCGACACAAAGCCAUCAAUAACGGUAAUAUGAUUGGCACAAAGCCAUCAGUAGUAUCACAGUAAAGCUACCAGUAAUAGUAUAUGUGGCCAAGCCACCAGUAAUAGUGAUUGUGGCAGAGCCACCAAUAUAGUACUUCCUCCAUAACAGUAUUCCAACCCCAUGCAGUAUGUCGUGUAUGCAGAAUGCCAUACUCAGAAUCAGUCAUACCAAACACAGACAAAGCAAUCAUUUACAUCAAGGACAAAUCAAUCAUUUAUGUCACAGACAAUUCAAACAUUAACCUCGAGGGGUAAAAUAGUCAUUUUACUCUUUGAGGGUAUAUCAGUCAAUUCACCUAGUAGAGGCAUUACAGUCACUUUACCCUACAGAGGUAUUACAAUUAUUUUACCGUAUGGGGGUAUAUCAAUCAAUUCACCUAACAGAAGUAUUACAGUCAUUUUACCCUAUAGAGCAUUAUGGUCAUUUUAUCCUACAGGGGUAUUACGGUCAUUUUACCCUAUAAGGGUAUUAUGGUUAUUUUACCCUAUGGGGGUAUAUCGAUCAAUUCACCUAACUAAAGUAUUACGGACAUUUCACUCUACAGGGGCAUUACGGUCAUUUUACCCUACAGGGAUAUUAUGGGCAUUUUACAAACAUUAGGGUCUCGAUACUUAUUAUAACCUUCUAAAAGGUCUAUCAUCAUUUCGAGCGACUCAGAUAACCUACACGGCUAGAACAGUGUAAUUUGGCCCAAAACCCGCUAUUAGGCCCAAAUGGGCCCACACGCUCGUGUGGCCCAUUUAGUCUAGAUUCACAUACGAUAUCACGAGCCUCAUAAACCAACCUAUCAAUGAUCCCUUACCAUGGAUUUUACCCGUGUGGGCCUACAAUCCCAUUAGCCCUACGCAACCCAUUUCGACUCAUCGAGGCCCAUAACGACCCCGGCUAUGCAAACGUCACAGUCCAAACAAUACUUACCACAUCAUAUACAUUUUAUCUGUGUGACCCACUGGGUCCACAUAGCCCAUUUCGGCCCAAUAAGGCCUAGAACAGCCCAAGACCACAAGAGCACUCGUGGUGGCCUCUACAAACUAACACUCCUAUUUGCAGGCUCGGUUCACCACACGCAUGAUCGCACAUUCGUGUGGCAUCAUAUAUCAUAUUUCUAGCUUUUCGGCAUUUGUCGAAUUACAGAAGAGACAGUGUGAUUACACACACUUUCAGCUUUAUGACAGUAAUGAUUUAUAGUGUACAAUUACACAUACCUGAAUACGAACUCUUGCGAACAGCCUACGAACACUAUUAAAACAAAGUAUUUAUCAAUCGCUUGACAAUAGGAUCUCAACCUUCCUUGAUAGUUAUCUGCAUAUAAAGCGAAUUUAGUAAUCAAUAUUGUUUAUGCAUAUGGGUUGAAUCUAUGGUUAUUAGCCUAAAGAAAACACAAACCCCAAAUAAGAGAAAAGCAUAUUCGGCCAAUACCAACCCACAACAACAUAUUCCAGUUUAGAUUAUUCAAUGCGAGUAGUAUUACCUUUGAUCAAGAACGAAAGAGAAGGGUUCAAUCUUUUCUACAGUGCUAAGGAAUUCUUCCACUCUUCACGAAUUCCUUAAAUCCGAAAGAACACCAUAAAAAAGUAAAAAAAAAAGAAGAUAAGAAUCGACAUCUAAGGAAAUAGAAGUGAAAACCUGAAAGUGUAGAGAUAUAGGGACCUACCAAUCGAUAUUCUGCCAAUGGAAACUAUUUGAGUGACAGGGAAGAGAAGUUAGAAUCGAGAGGAAUAUGAGAUAGUUCGAGAGGAAUAUGAGAUGGUCAUCCACCACGACUUAAGAGAGAGGGAGAAUAGAAGAGAACCGACAAUCAAGGACAAGGAAGAGGGUUGAUGGAACAAACAAUAUUCGACUAACAAAGGAGGAAACGUUCGGCUACCCAAAACCUAAAAUAAGUAAAGGCAAAGUACCAAUGAGGGAAAAAAAGUUGAUCCAGCAAAGAACGAUUUUGAAGAACAAAAACCCAAUUACCCGAAUGGACAAUAAUGGUACUCGGCUACCAAAACACACAAUACACGAAAGGGAGAAAAAUAGGACAAAAAGAGGUAAAUGUUUUUGAAAUGGAGAGAAAAAAAUGCACAACCUAUUUCAACACAAGAAUAAAAGUUAUAUGACUGAAUUUGUACUAUUGAAAACCCACUUUCGGCCAACUGCUACAACACCCCUAAUUCCACUCCCUAAAUCUCUUAACACCCCUAAUUUGAAACACUUUCAAACUUCUCUAAAUCUUUAUCCUAUGAAUCACUCCCCCAAGACCAAUUCCACAACCACCUGAGCAGAAUCCCACUACAACAUAGCCACUCUUGCAUCACAACUGCAAAAUAAAACCUCCCUUACUCAUCCCAAGACUUCAACCUUAGACCUCAUGCUGGCUGUAAUGCCACCUUGCCACUAGACCACCCACUCUUUUUGUGUAACCUUUUACCAUAUUUCAUUCUUAAGCCUAUUUACUUACUCCCAGGGUUUUAUUCACCUAAAACUGAAAUUUUUGUUACAGCCUAGGUUUGAAGUCAAGACUUCUGCAAUACUUCUCAGGAACCUUAACCACUAAAGCAGACAUACUUUUGUAUUAUUCACUUGCACAGCUAAAAUAUCUAAGAGUAAUAUCCUAUCCACUUCCAAGCUCAAUGCCCAAUACUUCUAGGCCCAAAAUUUGAGGCGUUACAUUAAUCCACUCAAGCAGACUGCUAGAGAAAAAUUGGGACCAUCUUAUUUCUAGCACGAUUAAUUUUUAAAUGUCCUUAGCAAUUGGGCAAUCCCUAAUAUCUUAAUUAAGUUGAUAUUGGUAUCAGGAUUGUUGAAGCAAAAUAAAAAUGAUAUUCGUAUACAAUAUUCUAAAUAGCAUGCAUUGGAAAGGAUUAUGAGCGUUACUCUAAUUUUAUGAGAAUGUAUUGGAUGCUUUUAUUCUAGUUAAGAGAAGCAUGGAGGGUAAGAGGUUUGGUUUUGUGAGGUUUGCUAAUCUAGAGAAUGUUCAAAGGGUAAUUUUAAGGCUAGAUGGUUUUGUGAUUUUAGGAAAAAAGGUUUGGGUGAAAAUAGCCAAAUUCAGUGGCAAAAGGAAGGCAUGGAAAAAAGUCCAAGCAAAGAAAGUUUUAAGCCAAAAAGAGAUGAUGUAGUCGAGAGGGAUAGGGUAUCAGGAAGAGAAAUGGGAUAAAUCAAAUGGUAAUACGUCAAAUAGAAGGCUAACGUCUGUUGAAAUAGAAAUAACAGGGAUGAAUAAAUUAAAUGUUGUUGAGGGCCAUGACGAGAAAGAACAACUAUAAAAACUUUAGCGUUGCUUGGUUAAGGAGACUACGUCUUUUUGUAAUACAUAUAGCUUGUCAGAAAGAAUAGUUAGUUUAGGCCUUAGAGAAUUAAAUGUUCAGAGAAUUCAGGGUAGAUACUUUCUAAUAGAAGUUCCUGACGAUGAGCUUAUGGAGAUUUUAAAGCAAAGAGACUUGCAUAUCUGAAAGAAUUUUUCAUCAAUAUAGAACCAUGGUUGGAAAAAAUUAAAGUUUUAGAAAGGCUAGCUUAAAUUGAAGUUGCUAGGAUUGCUCUUCAUUGAUGGAAUUACCAAACGUUUGGGAGAGUAGUUGAUUUAUGGGGUAAGAUAAUUGCUAUGGGUGAAAGGCUAACAAUGGUGAAUAGCUUUGAGAAGAUAUAUAUUUUGAUUUUUAUAAAGCAAGCUCACAAACUCGAAGAAAUGAUAAUGUUGGAAGUAGGCAAUGAGUGUUGGAUCGCCGGCACCCCUACGGCGCAGCGGAAAAAUUUAAUAAUCGGCGACCCUAACCACGGAUCCAUGUGUGAGGAACGAAUCGGGGUGAAAAGGGUUACGAAAUUACCUAAUGAUGUUCUGAGUAGACAUCAACUUCUCAACAACGUGUAGUCUGAUCUAAAGUCGAACUAAGCCGCAAUCUAUCGAGACUCCGACCUCUACGUGAUCCACCCAGUUAACUACGAAAGGAAGAAAUCCCCAAAACAGUUUUGAGAGUGAAUUUUCUUUGACGGCUGCUAGACCAAAACAAAGAAAAACGGGAUACUUAUAUCCUUAUUAUUUAUUUUUUAGGGUUUUUAUUUAUGAAUUAAAAUAAAUAUAAUAAUAUUUUAAACCGAAAAUUAUAAUUACAUUAAUUAUAAUAUAAUUUCGGUAAACCAUAUAUUUAUUUGAAUUCAUAUGCUAACCUCAUUAUGUGUACAACAACCUUGUACAUAAUGUGUUGGAAAUCGAAUUAAAUUAAUUCUAUAAUUAAUUUAAUUCAAGUGACACCUAAAAACAAUACCAACUAUGGUUUAUUCCGUUUAUUUUAACUAUAGGGUGUGACCUUGUAGGUUCUUAUAACGUUAGCAGUAAUACUAGAACGAUUCCAAUGUUACAAAUAAUGAGUGGCAUCUAGCAAUGCAUCAUUGCUACCUAAGUCACAAGAGAUCAUGAUUCAACAUAACCUUUUAUGAUUAACCUUUUAUGCAAUAAUCCUUAAGUCCUUUAUCUCUGGAUUGGACACAAGUCAUGGAAUAGUCACACUUGUAUAGUCCAUUCCAUGUUCCUUGAUAUUUUAAACAGACUAUGAUAUACAAAUAAGUAUGGCAUCUCAUAUCAACUUAUUUGAGCAUGACCAUGCAUUUCUAGUCUCACUUAAUCAAGUGGCCUAAGAUAUUACUCCCAUUAUGUAGGAGGGACUUAUUCUAUAUCGACCAACCAUAUCCCUCUACAUCAAUUGUGGUAUAUCCAACACCAGCCUUUCUAGAACAACCAGUUACGGUGUACGUUUGACUGUAUCAAAAUAUACUACUCACGAUGUUGGGAUUAUGAUGAUCUCAAGUCUGAGGAUCAUAUACAUAUUAAUCACUAUGAGUAAUGUCGUGACAAUUACAUAAUAAUCCAAGAAACAUACUCAUAAUGGGUCAGUCCAAUAUGUUGUUCUCUAACACACAUAUUCAUGCAUCGAUUCUGAUAUUCCAUAUCAAUGAUAACUCUUUAUCAUCAAUCAACUACAUGUAACACCCCCUACCCGUAUUCGUCGCUGAAAUAGAGUAUGAGGCAUUACCAUAUUUUACCAAACAAAUAUUUUUUUUUAUUUUUAAAAAAAAAACACAAUAUAACCCCUUUGUAAAAAUCUAAUCUUCCCUGCAAAUUUUUUAAACCGAGACCAAUCCAAUACAACCAAUCCAUUUCAAUAUUUUUUUCAAGAUAGAUUUAUAAUAUUCAUAAAGAUAAUCUCAUCACAUACCAAAACCAAAGUUUGUUAGCCAUACCAAUGGCUAACUAUACAUUCAUUUCACAUUAACAUCUACUUUACUAGCUUAUACAUGCCAUUGAUUUUCAAAAUAAAGUUUCUUUAUAUACCGAAAUCUUGAGGUUGAUAGUGUGAUACGUCUCCGACCAAAUCCGACCUCUGAGCUCUUAACACUACAAAACAGGGGAAAAGAAACACGGGGUAAGCACUUUGUGCUUAGUAAGUUCAUGCAACAAGAAUUAUACUUACCUAAUAUUUUCAAUACAAUGCAAUAAACAUUCAUACAUCCAUUCAAUACAUUAUUCCCCUAUCUUGCACAAACUCAACAUUCAAAUUAGUCCAAUAAUUUCCAUGUAUCAAUAAUUUAUAUAUCAUGAUUGAUGAGCUCAUCAAUUCCAUGAUUUCUAUUUCCUUAUUAUUUUUCCAUAUUUAUCCCGUUGAAUUUCUCAGAAUUUUGAUGGAUUUUCAGAGGUACACUUGAGUGUACAAAUCCGGGUCCGUCAAUUCAUAUUCAUGUGCGCACAUUUCCAUUUCAGAGAGCACACUCCCGCGAACCUCAUCCUUACAGCGGGAUUACCAGUCCAGGCUAAAUCCCCUGUAAUAUAAACUCACAGAGUAUUGUCGGGAUUACCAGUCCAGGCUAAAUCCCCUGCAACGACAAUUACUCUAAUGAGCUUGGAUCUGAAUUACCAGUCCAGGCUAAAUUCAGACCCCAAUUCGGAUUACCCGUCCGGGCUAAAUCCAUUUUCCACAUAUUCUUCGAGAGGGCUAUAUCGGGAUAGGAUCACCCGUCUGGGCUAGAUCCUUUUUACCGUCAAUUCCUUUUCAGAGAUCCAUCGAAUUUUCCUUUCAUUCAACCGGGAUUUAUUUUCUCUUUUCAUCAAGAAUAUCAAUACUUCAUCAAUUAUCAUACAAUAAACAUCCAACUCAUUUUCACAUCAAUAACAAACAUUUCAAGCAUUUAAGAAUAUAAUUCAAGUUACACGAACUUACCUCGAUACUUGUUCGUAACCAAAAAUCUACUAAUCCCAAACUUUUUCUUUCCCUCGAUCUUGCUUCGUAUUUGAAUUUUCUGGAUCUAAAUAAAUAAAUUAAAUCAUUAAUCUAAUACUUUUCAUGUUCAUAUGUAACAUUCUUUAUAAUUCCAUUAUUAUUUAUAAUGCAUUCAAAGCUGUCUCACUGAGUCACAGUCACUAAAUUAUUUAUACCUUGAGAUACGGAACUCCAAAUUAAGAUCCGUUAAUUUUCCAUGAAACUAGACUUACAUAUAUUCUUACCAUAAAAUUUUCAGAAUUUUUGGUGUAGUCAAAAAGUACAGUUUAUUCUUUAAAGUUUCUCCUGUUUCACUAUUUGACAGUUCUAACCCUUCUUCACUAAAAAUUAAUUAUCUCAUUGUACAGAAUUCAUAUGAUGUUUCCACUUAUUUCUUAUGAAAAUAGACUCAUUAAGGAUUCUAACCAUAUAAAUUAUAACUCAUAAUCAUUUUUUUACAAUUUUUAAUGAUUUUCCAAAGUCAGAACAGGGGAACCCGAAUUCAUUCUGACCUUGUCUCACAAAACCUAAUAUAUCUCAUGAUUUACAACUCCAUUGCUUACACCAUUUCUUCUAUAUAAAACUAGACUCAAUAAGCUUUAAUUACAUAUUUUUUUAAUCCUCUAAUUCGAUUUAUACAAUUUAUGGUGAUUUUUCAAAGUUAGAGUACUGCUGCUGUCCAAAACUGUUUUAGUGUAUGAUGUUAAUUACCAUUUUUCCCUAAACUUUCAAUAAAUGAUAAUUUCAUCCCUGCUCAAUUAACCUCUCAAUUGAGCUGAUUAUUCUCAAUUAACACUUUAUCCCAUCACUUUAAACUACUUUAUAACCUUUGUAAAUCAGAAUUUCAGCACUAGACUUUGAUUCCAAACAUUUUCACAAUUAGGUCCUACAAAACUUUUCUAUUGAAAUUACCUAAUAAAAUCAUCUCAUAAACAAGUUAAAGCUUCAAUUUCAUGCUAUUUCAUCAUAAAAUUCCAGCACAUAUUCAUAGAAACUUUCAACUUCAUCCAUAAAAUCAAAAACUAAUGAAUUUAGUAAUAGGACCUAGUUGUAAAAGUCUUAGAAACACAAAAAUUACAAGAAAAAGGAAAGGAUUAACUCACUUGGUGCAAAAAUUAUGAGAAACCAGCUUGAAGAAACCCUUAGGACAUUUUUGGCUGAUGAGAAUGCAGAAAAUGUGAAGAGAAUUCUAGAUAUUCCAAUUUGGUCCUAUUUUUAUGUUAUUAAAUUUUGUUAUUUUCCCAUUUUACCCUUAUUUCUUCAAUUCUUCUGAUUUUUCUCAGCGUAUGCCGCCCAAAAUAUCUUCUUUUGGGAUUAUUUGCAAUUUAUGCCCCUUCUCAUUUAAAAAUUAAGCUAUUUAAUCCUUCUAAUAACUUUUACAUCUUUUUCAAUUUAGUCCUUUUCACUUAAUUGACUGCCCAAACAUUAAAAUUUUCCAACGAAAUUUUAAUACCAUAUUACUAACACUUCAUAAAUAUUUAUAAAUAUAUUUUUGACUCGGUUUACGAGAUUGAGGUCUCGAUACCUUAUUUUUACCUAAUUUCUUCAAUAAUUUCUUUUUCUAACUAACCACUAAAUCAGUAAAAUUCUUUUAUCUAUAUUUUCAUCCGAUUUUCCUAUCAUAUCAAUAUUCAUGCAAAAAUAAUAAAAUAAAUUUCUCUUUAAAUCGGAUUUGUGGUUACGAAACCACUAUUCCGAUAACCUUAAAUUUGGGCCAUUACACUACAUGUUAGUCUUAAUGCAUUAUUGUUGUCCUAUCCAACAAUAAUACUUGACUAAGGAUCUUUUAAGAAUAAUCAUAUUAUUCUUAGGACAUUAUUAGAAAACAGUUUAUUUAUACACACAGAAAAGAAACUGAAAUAAUAAUGGUAACGCCUUAUAUUAAUAAACAUGAUUAAUCAAGUAUGUUAUUACAACCAUCUCAUGAUUGAUCUUUGAGCAUACUCUAACAAUCUCCCACUAGCACUAAGACCAAUCACUUAUAUAUCUAAUACCAAGUGACUUAGUGUGACGAUCAUGCUUCUGUUGUGUCAGAGGCUUGGUCAAGGGAUCAGCAAUGUUAUCAUCUGUAGGUACUCUGCAUAUCUCUACAUCCCCUCGAUCGAUAAUCUCUCUAAUAAGAUGAUAGCGCCUAAGUAUAUGUUUGGAUCGCUGGUGAGAUCUAGGUUCUUUAGCUUGUGCAAUGGCUCCAUUGUUAUCACAUCGGAGUUCUAUAGCAUCCGAUAUGCUAGGCACAACCCCUAGUUCAGUAAUAAACUUUUUGAUCCAAACUGCUUCUUUUGCUGCCUCACUGGCUGUAAUAUACUCGGCCUCUGUUGUAGAAUCGGCUACUGUACUUUGCUUUGAACUCUUCUAGCUCACAGCACCACCAUUAAGGCAAAACACAAAACCUGAUUGUGAUCGAGAAUCGUCCUUAUCGGUUUGGAAGCUGGCAUCAGUGUAACCUUUUACACUUAACUCUUCCUCACCUCCAUAUAUUAGAAAAGUAUCCUUAGUACUUCUCAAGUACUUAAGGAUAUUCUUGACUGUGGUCCAGUAACAUUCACCGGGAUCUACUUGGUAUCUGCUCGUCAUACUUAAGGCAUAUGAGACAUCUGGAUGGGUACAUAACAUGGCAUACAUGAUAGAUCCAAUAGCGGAAGCAUAUGGAAUUUUACUCAUGCGUUCUCUCUCUUGUAGAGUUGAAGGACACAUUUCCUUCGAGAGUGAAAUACCAUGUCCCAUAGGUAGGAAUCCUCUCUUAGAUUCUUUCAUACUGAACCUUUUCAGUACUUUAUCUAUGUAUGUACUUUGGCUUAAACCUAAUAGUCGUCUUGAUCUAUCUCUAUAGAUCUUUACUCCUAAGAUGUAAGUGGCUUCGCCCAAGUCCUUCAUGGAAAAACAACUUCCUAUAAUGAAGUUAUGUUGUAGGAUAAUUUUUGGUGGAUUUGUCUAAACAAGUGUAGGAUUGAUACUAUUAUAUCUAAUUCUGCUCAUCUUUUUUGCGGCCCCCUCCUCAUGGAUGGUUAAAGUUUAAUGUAUGUGGAGUUACAAAAGAAGAUAGAACUGGUUAUGGUGGUGUAUUAAGAGAUAAGGAGGGUGUUGCAAUAGUAUUAUUUUUUAGUUCUGUGGCAGCUAAUGACGCUGAUAUGGCUGAGACUGGUGCAGUUAAGGUGGCUCUGGAAGUAUUUUUAGCUAUGAAUUGGAAGAUUAAUGAUUCCUUAUUUAUUGAACUUGGUUCUUUGGUGGUGUUUUCUUGGUGUGUUAACAAGGUAAUGAAACUAUGGUCUCUUCAAGCAAUUUUUGCUGGUAUUCAUAGAGACAUGUUAAAGGCUAGAAAUGUAUUUUCGGUGGCCGAUGAGAAAGGUAACGAAUUGGCAUCUUCCUUGGUAAUUACAGGUUUUUAAUAGGGAGAAUAUGUUUAAAGCUUGGUGGUGAGUUUUUUAUAUUGUUGUAAUCAUUGGUUUAGUUGCGACAGAAUACGUUUUUAAUCUUGUAUGUUGUAAUUCUGAACUUUGUUGUUGUUCUGUUUGUCUUUGACAAUAGUAUAGCUUGAAUGAAGCAAAAAAAAAGGGCAAUCCCUAAGGACAUGUAAAAUGUCUUAUGUCUCAUAAUAUCAUAUUGGGCAUGCUUCAGUUUGGUUGAUUCCUCUUUUAACUCGUUCAAGGUUAGUAAGCAUGUUUUGUUUGUAAACCAACCAUAAGAAAAAUUUAAUAUGUUGUGGUCCUUGGAAUUUCCAAACGUUCUUUCAUUUACUAUCUUACCCAUUCCAUGUGUUUCCUUUUAACAUUUGGUACGCACUUUUUACUAAGAAUUUCCCAUUAGAUGUGUGAGUCCAAAAAAUUUUGUCAGGACCGGUUAAGGGAUGUGGGGGAGGGAUGUUUGUAAUCUUCUGAAUUAUAUCUUCUGUCAGCCGGUUCCUAAAUGAAUAAAUGUCCCAAGAGCCCUCUUCUGUAACCAUGUCUUUAACUAAACAUUCUGAGAGUAAUCCUUCCGUUGGUGAUGCAUGUGCUUUGAGCGGACUUAUUUUUGGGAUCUAUGGAUCUUCCCAACAUCUGACACUGUCUCCUAUUCCAAUGGACCAACAUAGGUUCUCUUUUAGCAAUGGAUAGACUUUCGCAAUUCCUCUCUAAACAACUAAGCAAUUUUCGCGCAUGAUAUUUUUUGGAACCACCUCUGUCAUUCGAUAUUUUGAUCUUAAGACUUGUACCCACAAAAUGUCCUUUGUAGAAACAAAUUUGAAUCUUAAUUUCAAAAGAAAAGAGGUAUUUUGAUCUUUUACUAGGGCCAUUUUCUGAUUUCCUGCAUUGGAUCCCCAAAUAAAUUUUCUAGCCAAUUGUUCAAUUUCUUCGCACACUUUUUUUAGAAUUUGCAUGGAUUGCAUAAAGUAAUUUGGAAUGGAGAAGAGGAUAGAUUGAGCCAAAGUGAGCCUUCCUGCAAUUAAGAGUUGCUUGACAUCCCAACUACAUAGUUUAACUCUAACUUUUUCAAUAACAAACUCCAAUGUAGCUUUAGCAAUUCGACUAUGUAAAAGUGGAAUUCCUAAGUAGGACCCCAGCCCUUGGACUUUCUAGAAACCGAGAAGUCGGCUUAUUCUAUUGCUCAUAGUAUCCUUCACUCCUCUUGAAAAGAAAAUAUUAGCUUUGCGUGUGUUAACCUGGUCUUGAUCUGGAUUGUCGUAUUGGGCUCCAUGCCCUUGUAUUAACAGCUAUUUGGAAACUAUGACCUAGCCACUCCAUACAAAGCACAAAGAGGUAGGGUGAUAAGGGACAUCCUACCUAAUUCCUCUUGCUAGUUGGAAUUUUUUAGUGGAGACCCCAUUCCACAAAAUCUACAUGGUAGAUGUCGAAAUGGCUGACAUAAUGCCUGCAGCAUGAAUAGACCUAUCAAUAAAGUCCUAUUAGACCUUGUUAUAUGCUUUCUCCAGAUCAAUUUUGAUUGUCAUCCAUUUUUGCUCUUUCCUCGUAUAGAGUGCAUAACUUCCUGAGCAAUGAUGAUGUUAUCAGAAAUUAUUGUCCUGUAAUGAACCCCGCCUAUUCCUGUAAGGUGAUUUUCGAAAGAGCUAUUUUGAGUUUGUUAGCAAUAACUUUCAUAAUUAGCUUAUAGAGAACUGAUCAAAGACUGAUGGAUCUAAAUUAGGAUAUCUCUUCAAGUUGAGCCAUUUUUGGGAUGAGCACAAUAAAUGUAUCAUUUAAAUCAGGCUCUAUGGGCUUUCCUCUGAAUACACCUUUAACCCAUUCACAAAAUGUACUUCCAAUACUAUAUUAUUUAAAUAGAUUAAAAUCAUAAUCAAACCAAGAAUAAAUUAUCAAUUCAAUAUUGGAAAAUAAAUAUGAUAUGAUAUGAUAUAAUAUAAUAUAUAUUCAUUUAAUUUUAAGAAUAUAAAUCUUUCGUUUUAUCAUUUCUAUGUUGUUGAAAGAACUAUAUAUUAUUAUAAAUAUCAAGAGAGAGAUGAGAAAUAUUAGAUCUUUCAACAAUUUGACAAUUUUUUGGUAAGUCUCGUGGAAGCCUUUAUAUUAGGAGUCGGAUUGUAUUUUGUUCUUUCUAUUAAAAAAAUGAGUAGAUUAGUUUUUAUACGUUAAACCAAAGAGUAAAUUGAUUCUUCUAUUAAAAAUCAUCCAUUUCUACCAUUAAAAGCUAGUUCUCGUACAUUAACAUGAGGUAAACAUUGCACACGGGCAAAACCAAAAAUUUUUUUAAGAAGGGGCCAAAAUUAAAUUGUAAUUUUUAUAAUAAUAAAAAUGCAAAUUUACCAUUUUAAUAGCCUAUAUCUUUAUAACUUUUAAAGGAUUGAAUCAAUUUUUUUUAUCAUUUUUAAGGGGGUUAAAGUGUAAUUUUAUCUUUGCUAAAUAGAAAAUUUUCCAUUUUAGGGGUUUGGGGCCCUACCAACCCCCUAGCUACACCCCUGACAUUGUCACUAUCUAAUUAUCUUGUCAAUGACGCUAAUUUUGAACAAUACAAAUGUAUAAUUUUUUUAGCACAAAGGAUUGGCGUGCUUAUUGAUUUAACAUAUAAUGACUAAUUUGUUUGUUAUUUUAGAAAUAAAAAUAUAAUUUAACUCUUAAAAAAAAGACCUCCAUAAUAUUUAGAAUUAGGAUCCAAUUUAUAGAACACUUAAGUACUAAGGACUAAAUGUAUUAUUAUACCAAUUAGGAAAAGAAUUUUCAUUAUCAAUUUAAUGGUGGAUGACGGAACAAAUUCUAAUGUCAAUGCCUAAAUUGAAUAUUUUCAAAGUUCGGUGACCAAAACAGGAAUGCAGGCAUAGUUGAGUGAUCAUUUGUAUAAGUUACUCUAAAUUAAAUUAUGAUGUUUUCAAAAUUUUAUGCGAUAAAUAUAUUAUCACAUGUAUAAUACAGCGUCAACUUACUAUUUCCACAUAAUACUUGUAAAAAAAAGUCACAUCAUUUUAAUUAAUGAUUUAAUAUUUACUAUAAAAGAUAAAAUUGAUCGAAUCUUCACAACUUACGCAUGAUAUAAAAUUAGUAGGAAAAUUUUACUUAACGAGUUUAAUUAUUGUCAUUUAGAUAUUAAGAUUUCAAAAUUUUAAAAAUAUAAAAAUUAAAAGAAAUUAGAAUAUAAAUUCUAAAUUCAAAGCUUAGUCAUAAUAGGAAAAUUUGACUUAUUAUUAUUUUUCUAAUCAUUUUCUGUCUCACCUUCUAAGAAGAUAACUCUUUGAUUUGAUCAUUUCUAUGCUGUUAUAAUUAAACAUUAAAAUUGUAUACAUAUGGAAUAUUAAAUCUUUGAAUAAUUCAUGCAUACGUGGUCUGAAUGUUGACCCAUCAUAACACUUGGAACAAGGUUGAAAUAAAAUUGCAUUUCUAAUAAACUAGGAUUUUUUUUUAUGAAUCUUGCAAGAAAGAGUAACAGCAGUAGACCACUAUAACAGUCUAUUCUAGACCAUAAACAUAGUAUUUCUAUUUAUGUUGUCAAACUGUUAACUUCUCACAUUAGAGUAAUAUGAGGAUAACUCUCUCACCUUCUAAGAGGAUAACUCUUUGAAAAUGCUAUAAAUUAAACAUUAAAAUUGUAUACUAUGGAAUAUUAAAUCUUUGAAUAAUUCUUGCAUACGUGCUCUGAAUGUUGGAAGUAAAAUUAAAAAAUAGUUACGUGUUUUUUAUAAGUAACUAUAUAAAAUUAAAAAAUUAUGAUGUGUUUCUUUUAUAAAUAAUUAUAUGAAAUUAAAAAAAAAAUCCACAAUCAACAUGUAUUGUAGAUAAGCCAUAUAUAUAUAAUUGUCUACCUUUUAAGUCAAUAAGUUUAAUAGUGGCCCCUCUUGGCUUUAACCAUCCUUUGUAUUUGUGCCCAUCUAACACACGUCUUACACCAGUUACUGGAAUUGGAAAAUUACAGUUAGAGCAAAUCAAUAAAAAAUUGCAUUUCUAAUAAACUAGGAUUCUUUUAUGGAUCUUGCAAGAAAGAGUAAUUUCUAUUUAUGUUUAUUUUAAUCAAAGAAUUUGUCAAACUAUUAACUUCUCCCAAGAUAUGAGUAAUUGUAACAUAUAAUCAUCAAUGACUUUAAAAGUUUUUUCUAUAUCUCUAGAGUAGAGGGAGUGACUUAGAACACCAUGAACUAAAUGACUCAACAAUUAAAUUAUGAAAAUAAGGGUAGCAAAAUUUAAUUCUAUUCAAAAAUUUGGAAAAAAAAAAUUGAAUUUCGAGAUAGUCAAAUCAAGUUAUUCAAGGUAUUUGGUGUAUAUAACCUGUCAAUUUUUUUUGGAUAAAUUACAAGAAGAGGGGAAAACCCUAACAACAACACAACUUGAACCCAAGCCACACUUGAGAUGAUGAAUACCCUGACCAUCAAGCCAACACGCAAGGUUCUAUAGCCUUAUCAAUUUUGAAAAUGAGCAAAUUGAUCUCUCUCUCAACAAAAACUACAAAAAAAAUUCAAACUAAUUUUUAAAUUUUAAAAUAUUUAUAAAAAAUUUCAAAAUUUAUAUUUUAAAAAAAUUAUAAAAAUUAAGAAUUCUAUAGAAUAUAUAAAAAAAGUUAAAAUAAUUUAAAAUAAUAAUUUUGAAACCUAAAUAAAUUAAUUAACAAUUCAAGUUUAUCGUACUAAAGUAAUUUUUUUCUUUUUUUUGCAAGAGUUUUUAAAUAUAUAUAACUUCAAAUUUAUUUCUUCCAACAUGAAGUUAGUUAUACUGUAACAAGAUUUUAAUUUAACAUAUUUAACUCAAACAAUUUUACUUGAUUCUAUUCAAUUCGAUUUGAAUUUCAUUUCACUCGACUCUAAAAAUUUUUAAAUCAAGUUAAGAUAAUAAAAUAGGACUCGUUAUCAUAAUUAACUCAAAAAAAUUUUCACUUGAUUCGAUUAAAUAUUUACCCUUAAAUUAAAAAUUGAAUAACUUAGUCUUGAUAAAGAUCUCUAAUACAAAUUUAAUAGCAUUAAUUUUAGAUAAAUUAGCAUCACAACAACCAAGAGGUUUGGAGUUGAUGCAUUUUGAUGAAAGAGUCAUACGAUUUGACAUUUUAUACAUAGUGAAGGUGGAAUUAAGGUAGUUAGUGGGUGUAUCAUUUUCGUGUUAAUAGUGGUAUAUAUAGGCAUCGGUAUGUUUCAAUAUAUAAUUUUAGGUUUACCCAUGUUUUUAUAUAUAUUUAUAGUUUAAUUUUUAGUUUGUUGAUAAAUUAUAUACAUUUAAAUAUUUUUUAUAUAUAUUUAUAGUCUAAUUUUUAUUUUGUUUAUAAAUUAUUUGUUAUUUUAGUUAAAAAUAAAUUAUAUAUUAUAUUAACAUGCAAAUAUAUCUUAAUUAUAUUCAUAUAAAUAUAUUUAUAUUUAAAUAUAAGUUUUAAAAUUAUUAAUUACGUUCAAUAAUUCAAUUUAACUUUUCAUUUUAAAUAUAAUUUUGAAAAAUUAAAAUGGUUAAGAAAAAAAUUUAAAAUUUAGUUUAAAAUGUCAAUAUUUUGUAUCAACCGAUUUGGGCCGAUAUGUACUGAUUACAGACCGAAACAGAUAGAAAUACGCUUAAAUAGCCGAAGCACACCAAAAUUUUAACAAGAACGAAACAUAACGUAAUUAAUACUGAUUUAGGACUGAAACGAUAUAUACCGAUUACCAUGUUGCAACUUUAUAUUCUUAUCUCAUAUAUAUUAUUGAAUUAUCAAGAAUUCCUCUAACUCUCAACCAUCUACUUUUAGUAAUGUUUUUUUUAUUUGUAAAAUAAAGAUGUUUAUUAGAUAAAACAUGGGAAUGGUAGAAAUUUUGAUCUACACACUACAUAAAGAUAGCAUACAUGAUUUAUAUAUUCUCACAUUAAUGCCAACAUUUAUUAAUAGUACUUAAUUAUAGGAAAACAUAAACGCAUGCAUCCAUGAAGGAAACAUGAUUCUAUUUUACUCACACACGCAAUGCAAUGAAAUUUUGUGUGUUCAUAGAUUACAUUGGCUCCGGCUUCUUUCUCCGCUCCAGCUUUGUUUCUUUGUUAGAGUAUAAGAAUAAGUCUGGUAUAUUGUUGGCAUAUAGUUAGCAACAGUUAGGUGAUCUCAUUCAAGUAUAUAAGUCCUAUAUGUGUAUUGAUGAAUUUUUUCAAUACAGAAAAUGUUCAAUCAUUUUUUAUUCAAUAUCCUCUAAGUAAUUAGUUCUCUGUAGUUACUAACAUGGUAUCAUUCGCCUGAAGUUCCUGCAGGUUCUUCUCGUUGCCGUUUCAUGGAUGAUUCGAGUGAUUCUAUCGCUGUUAAUCAUGGCAGUCUCUCCUUCUCCGGAUCUCGUCUGGUUCAAACAUUUCCUCGUCAUGAUACAGUAAAGUUAGACGAAGGAAAUUUCGUACAAUGGCAACAACAUAUUAGGUUAAUAGUUGAAGGCUAUGAAUUGUUAGGGUUUCUCGAAGGGACAUUACAUGUUCCGCCCCGCUUCAUCACUUCUCCAGAUGGAGUUCUGGCUUCGAAUUCUGAUUCGUCUUUGUUUGUACAGCAAGAUAAACUUCUUGCAUCUUGGUUAUUAUCAACAAUUAGUUCUGUCUUGUUGCAUUCUUUUACAGCUGCUUAAUAAGAAAAUGAGGUGUGGAGCACUGUGAAUCGACUAUUCGCCGCUGCCACUGGACCAAAGGUGUCGCGCAUUAAGCACGAACUCAAUUCCUUCAAGAAGGGUGUGAUGUCGGUGAAAGAAUAUGUGGCUAAAAUAUAAACUACCUACGCGUUGCUUGAGGCAUCGGGAUCUGUGGUACUGGAGGUAGAGAAAGUAGAAAUCAUAUUGGUCGGCCUCUUGUCGGACUAUGAUGUUGUCCUCACGUUGGCAUCAUUCUCGACUGAAUCACUUCCUCUCUAGAAGCUUCUUAAUGUACUCUUGGAGUUUGAGAAGCGGCAGGCUCGUGCGGUGACUGAAACGCCAUUUCAUGCCCAUCUAGUGAAGGCUGAUCCGGGGAAAUCGAGGACGGACGGUGUGCGUGGUGGCCGGUCGUCUUCUAUGGCUUAUGGUCGUGGGUUUAGGACUCAUCUUUAUGUCAAAUCUGUGGUAAAUAAGGCCAUUUGGCACAAAAAUGUUACUACAGGUUCGAUCGUGACUAUGGCGGCCCAUCUGCUCCGGCUUCGAAUCUACCUCCGGUGUUCUCUGGUCGUGCGGAUCGUGGAUCUCGCGAGAAUGGUUAUGGUGAGCAUGGCUGGUCUUCGUCGGGUCGUGGUGGUUCGGUUCCCUUUGGUGGCUUUGGACCGUAUAUUGGUGCAUUGUAGCGGCUCCGAUCGUGUAUCUGUGCGGUGCCUCGUGGGGGGGUUGCUGAAUGGUUUCUCCAUGUCUACUCCAUCUACUAGGAUUGCAAAACCUUUUCCCACUUAUACUAGUAUUUACGCAGGCCACAUAGUUGGGCCAUAUCUUGUUGGACCAAGACCUCACUAUGGUAACAAUGUUGAUCCCCUUUUGCUGCGCAGAUUGGGCUUUUCAUAUAGGCUGCAAGGUGAUGCUUAGGCCGUGGACUUAGGCCAUAUACUAGGCAGGCUGCGUCACUUCCUAACGUGGGUCAACAAGCUGGGCCGAAUUCCAACCUGGUUGGGCUUAAGCCGAAUGGACAUAAUUUCGUCCAAAAUAGGGUGUCAUAGUGGACUAAAUCGAGGGCUUGUGUUCAUGAUGUUGAUACUUUGCCGUGCAUUGGGUUACCUCAUAUCCCUGAUUUUCAUGCCUCAAAUUUUUUGACCACCUUUAGGUCUAAUGUCAGCACGAUGCAAUUUGGGUCUAAUUUUGAUAAUGAAAAUUCUCAUGUUCCUAUGCCUGUUGGGACCUCUUCUUGGUGUCGUGAUUCAGGGGCUACAUAUCAUGUCUAUCGAGAGGCCACCGAUCUGUACGAGUCUAUGCCAUACUAAGGUACAUCUCUUCUCCUCAUGGGUGAUCCUACAAAAAUAUUAUAUGUUGAGAAUUCUACUUUACCUACGAAAAGUAAGAUACUUCGCAUGUCUAAUGUUCUAUGCAUGUCUGAUAUACGAAAGAAUAUGUUAUAUGUUUCUCAGUUUGCUAAUGACAAUAGCGUGUUCUUUAAAUUUCAUCCAUCUUACUGUGUUGUUAAGGACAUCCCAACUCGGACACCAAUAAGCUUGUUAUAACUACCAAGGACGCCUCAGACACCAACUCUUCCUUUUAUAAAUUAGUUAUUGUACGUCCAAUAACUAACCAUUGCCGAUCGAACAACCUAAGAAACGUUCGUGAUUUAAAAAUCCGGCAACUUUACGUUCUAGUCUUGAUAUUUGCGUUCAUAUAUGUAGCGACGUAAAAAUUUUGGUUUGGGGUCGCUAAUUGUGGCAAUCUAGUGAAAAAGUCUGAAAACUGAAGUUUGAUUUUAAAAUAAAGAGGGAGUCGCCACCGAUCCUUUUCCUAGGUGUGAUCGGACACCUAUUAGAUUCAUUUUUUUUUAAAACAAAAGGAAGGCUGGAUUUAGGUCUACGUUAAAAGCCAGAGGAAAAUUAGGGUUCGGGAGUCGGUUACGCGCGAGGAAGGUAUUAGCACCCUCGCAACGCCCAAAAAUUGGUAUCUCAUAAACACAUGUUGUCUUAAUUUUCAAAAAUGCGAGUUCAAUAUUAAAAUUUAAUCAUAGUCCGAUUAAAAGAACGAGAAAUUUUGGUUUAUUUCGUUUUUUUUAGAAGGGUAUAUCGCUUUAACAUGAGUCAACUGACGUUCACCCAACAUAGCGAUGAACUCGAUGACUUAAUGUUAAAUCGAUAUAUUGCCUUGAUUAUUGAAAUUGAUUUAAAUCAUGAAUAAAUAUGUUCGAAACUAUGUAAAGCAAAUUAAUAAAUAAAAAUAAGCAAAAAGAUAGAUCUAGAAGCAUAUUGAAGCAAAUAUAAGUGUGACAAUAAUAUUACAGACAAUGAAGAUACAUGUAAUACUAGAAUAAAACAUGAAAUAGAAAUAACGAAUGUAUACACAUGAUAUUAAGAGUAUGUAUGUAAACUAUAUAUAAUGUUUGGAGUAUAUACCUAAGAUAGUAAAAAUAUAACUAGUAACAAUAAAAUAUUUACAUAAUAUAUACAUAUAUAUAUAUAAAAACAAUAUUUAAAAAGGUAUAUAUAUACGUAUGAUAAAAUAAAUGUAUUAAUAUUAAUAAUAAAUAUAAUAGGGGUAAAAAUAAAUAAAUAUACAUAAUAUAUACGCAAUAUAGUACUAAGAAUAUAUAUAUACACAUAUACAAUAUAGUAUUUAAAAAUAUAUACAUAAUAUUUACAUAUAUAUAUAAAAUAAAUAUUGAAAAAUGUAUGCGUUAAAAUAAUUAAUAUGUAAAAAACUUAAAUAAAUAAAUAUAAAACAGUUUUUUUUUAAAUAAAAAGGACAAAUAUACAAAUACCGUAUAAAGUUUGAAACUAGAUAAAAUAAUGUCUAAAUAAAUUGCAAAAUGGGGCAUAUAAUAAAAUAUGAUGGAACAGUUUGAAAUAAAGAGGAAACGAUUAAAUUAACAUCAAAAUGAAAGAAGAGGUACAAAUUAUAAUAACAGAUAAGUGUCAUGGACUACAUCAAAAUGCAUUCAAAGUUAUGAGGACAAAAUGGGACAUUAUCUCAAGUCUCAAAUGCACUGCUUUUCAACCACUCAGGCCGAGGAUUAAAGCGGAAAUAAAAUGAAAUAAGUGGGCCAAAAUUAAAAAAAGAAAAUGCAAAAAGGACUAAAUUAAAUGGCGCAAGAAAAGAAGAAGGAUCAUGACCGAAAAUAUCCCAUUUUAGCCUAAAAAAUAUGCUGCCGUUUCUGUGGCCAUUUAAGCCAUUCCUUUUUCUUUUUCAUUUCAGCUUCUGUUUUAAAGAAGAAAAAAAGAAUGCAGAGGGCCUUUUACCCCCUCUCCCUCUUUUCCAUUUCCUCUGCCAGGGUUUACAAGAACCCAUCAUCGCAUUAUCAUCGGACCGCCAUACCACCACCAUACUUGGUGGCCGGUGAGGUGCAAGCAUGGGCCGUUCGGCCUUGUUCCAAAAGGAUCUCGAAGUCCUAGCCUUUUAUGAGUCGACAAGAACCAAAAGAAAGGACUCCACCUCCCUCUAGUCCCGACGACGGAGGAAAGGUCUCCGGCGAGACAAUCGCGGGCGAUUCCGGGGAGGUUCUUCUUCUUUUUUCUUUUUUGGUUUUAAGUCUACUCUUAUUUAAUAGAUUUGUGUUGAAAUCAAGAGAAAAAAUUAGAGAGAAAAAAAAAUAAAUAAAAGACGAAAUAAAGAAAGUAGAAUCACAUAUCCACCUUUUCUUUUCUUGCUCUUUUUAUUGUUUGUACUUGUUUUGAUCUCUAAUAUCUGUGUUACCACCACCACCCCCUGUUUUACAAAUGAUAGAUUUCGGCUUUUAAAGCCAAUAUUUUUUUUUCGUUCCUUUUGUUUAUUACUUCCCCCAUCAUUCGCAUGCUUUCUUUGCUGUUGUGUUUGUUCUUGUGUCAGGUGGUGUCAGACGCGUGGAAGGCCGGUGAUUGGCGCCCCAAGCGGUGGUGGCGCUCGUGAAGAGGCUGGUGGCUGAAGGCAUGCGGCUAGGGCUUGCUGCUGAAAUUUUGCUGAAAAAUGUUUUAGAUUUUGGGCCAUUUGGGCUUUAGGGUUUUGAUUUGUUUGGGUUUAAAUUUUGGGUCAGAUUUUGGGUUUGUAAAUGGGCUGUUACUUUUGGGUUUAUUAUUUGAGUUAUUUUGUUGGUAUGGGCCCGGGAAAAAUGGGCUCGUACAGCUGCCCCUCUUUGCUCAUUGUCGUGUAACGAGAAUGGAGCAAAGACUAAGAAGGCCAAUUUUGCCCGGUCUCACCGAGUCUUGACUUUAUGGUGCUUAUCUUCCUCAAGUAACCUCAUUUCAGUCCACUGCGUCUUCUUGCUUUGAUCCACUUCACUGCAACUUCAAAAAGAGAUAUGCUUGUGGCUUUAAUCCACUCUGCUACAACUCCAUGGGGAUGAGAUUGGUUUUUUUUUCGUCUGCUCCAUUGAUGCUUAGGGAGAUAAGACUGGAUGUGAUCUGCUCCACUACUGUUUAGGGAGAUAAGAUCUGUGGUUUUGUCCGCUCCGCUACUACUUAGGGAGAUAAGACUUGAUGCGAUCUGCUCCAUUAUUGCUUAGGGAGAUAAGAUCUGUGGUUCUGUCUGCUCCACUAUUGCUUAGGGAGAUAAGACUUGCAACUUUUGACCAGUUCCACUAUAGCUUCAGGGAGACCAAGUCUGGUGUCUUUCAUCAACUUCAAUCUUUAUUCUUACUCGGCAUGUGAUCUUGAGCCCAACUCAUUUCUCGCAAUAUGAAUUGGCUCUUUAAAAACAGACAUUAAAAACAAAAGCUAAAGAUAUCUCAACAUGUGAACUGAGGCUCAACUCACUUUUCGCAAUAUGAGUUGAUUUUUUUGACAACAGAAAUUGAAAUUACCUCAGCGUGUCUUGAGGCUCAACUCAUUUCUCGCAAUAUGAGUUGAAUUUUGAAAACAGAAAUUGAAAUUACCUCAAUAUGUCUUGAGGCUCAACUCAUUUCUCGCAAUAUGAGUUGAUUCUUUCAAAAACAUAAUAAUGAAAACAGAAAUGGAAAAUACCUCGGCGUGUGUCCUGAGGCUCAACUCACCUCUCGCAGUAUGAGUUGAAAUUAAAACACAAAAAAUGAAAAUACCUCAGCGUGCCCCGAGGCUCAACUCACCUCUUGCAAUAUGAGCUGAUUUUGAAAAAGUAGAAAUUAAAAGGUUCAACCCACCUCUCGCAAUAUGAGUUGAUUCUUGACAAACAGAAAUUGAAAAUACCUCAACGUGUCUUGAGGCUCAACUCAUUUCUCACAAUAUAAGUUGAAUUUUGAAAACAGAAAUUGAAAUUACCUCAGCGUGUCCUGAGGCUCAACUCACCUCUCGCAAUAUGAGUUGAAAAAAAUACCACAGUGUGUAAUCUGAAGCUCAACUCACCUUUCGCAAUAUGAGUUGAUCUUUUUAAAAACAGAAAUUGAAAAUACCUCAGCAUGUGAACCGAGGCUCAACUCACCUCUCGCAAUAUAAGUUGAUUUUUUUGAAAACAUAAAUUGAAAAUACCUCAACGUGUCUUGAGGCUCAACUCAUUUCUCGCAAUAUAAGUUGAAUUUUGAAAACAGAAAUUGAAAUUACCUCAGCGUGUCCUAAGGCUCAAAUCAUUUCUCGCAAUAUGAGUUGAUUUUUUUUUGAAACAGAAAUAAAAGCAUCAGAAUACCAAAACAUGUUAUUUGGUAGAACUCAGGUGUCUUUUCCUUUAAUUCAAUACAACUAUCAUCACAUCUUCUUAUUCUACUGGAGUACCUGUAUAUGUCAUGCAUGAUGUUAUCAUGAUAUGCACAUGUUUGUCUUAAAUGCCUUUAUGCCUACAUGAUUAUGCUAUGCGCCUUAGGCAUGUUUGUCGUAUGUCCCUUUUCGUCAUGAUUGUUGAGGAUCUGCGUUCAUCGUUUUGAUUCUCGACCUUCUCUUCAGGCCUCAUACCUGUCUUCGAGCUUUACGAGUAAUUGACGUUUCUCAGAUAUCACCCUUUUGCCCUUGGUUAAACUUUGUUCUUGCUUUGAAGAUCUUGCACUUAUCAAAUUCUUAUCCGGGUAAUGCUUGACAUUUCUUUUGUUUAGAGUAUGUCAUUUCACUAUUUAUCAUUAAAUAAACACAUAAUUAGAUGAAUGAAAAUGGUCAGGUAGGGACAAAAAGGAUAUCUCACAUUCCUUUAUUUCAAAUGUGGCAAACAAAGAAAGUUAACCAAUGAGAGUAAAAAUGUCAAAAAGAAAGAAAAUGUCGUAUUCAACGGAUACAAAUGCUCUAGAUAUUCAACACAUGAACUCUUCUACGUUCCUCAAUCAAUAAUCUUUUCGAGCAUGGCUUCUUGCGUAGAAAAUUUCGAGCUUUCAGAAGUGCUUCAAAUACUGUAGUCUCACUACUUGACCUAUCGUUCGACCGCCAGGUUUGUUUCAUUAGGACGCCCUCUUGGAUUUUUAUCCUAAUCUUUUUGUACUAAUCAAGACGCCCUUUUCGGGUUUUUGCCCUGAUCCUUUUUUUUUAAGAUGCCAUUUUCGGGUUUUCAUCUUAAGCAUAAUAUUUCUUCACCGCAUCUGAAUUCACCGGAUUCGGUAACUCCUUCCCAUCCAUCUCGGUAAGGAUUAAAGCUCCUCUUGAGAAUGUCUUUUUUACAACAUAUGGUUCUUCCCAAUUUGGUGCCCAUUUUCCUCGCAGGUCUUUUUGUAUUGGGAGAAUCUUUCUCAGAACGAGUUCUCCUUCAUGGAACUCUCUUGGUCGUACCUUCUUGUCAUGGGCUGCGAUCAUUCUCUUUUGGUACAUUUGCCCAUGACAAAUUGCCCUUAGACGUUUUUCUUCAAUGAGGUUCAACUGAUCAUAUCGAGCUCGAACCCAUUCUGCUUCUUCUAACUUUGAUUCCAUCAAUACUCGCAGAGAGGGGAUCUCAACCUCGAUAGGUAGCACAGCUUCCAUUCCAUAGACUAGAGAGAAAGGAGUUGCUCCCGUAGAUGUUCGCACAGAUGUGCGAUAUGCAAACAAAGCAAAUGGAAGUUUCUCGUGCCAAUCUUUAUAUGUCUCAGUCAUUUUCCCAAUGAUCCUCUUAAUGUUCUUGUUAGCUGCUUCAACAGCCCCGUUCAUCUUUGGGCGAUAAGGCGAGGAAUUAUGAUGCUUUAUUUGGAACUGCUCGCACACUUCUUUCAUCAUCUUAUUGUUCAGAUUCGUGGCAUUAUCUUAGAUGAUUCUUUCAGGCAAACCAUAUUGGCAAAUGAUUUCCUUUUUCAAAAACUUGCACACUGCAGUCUUCGUCACGUUGGCAAACGAAGCGGCUUCAAUCCAUUUUGUGAAGUAAUCGAUAACCACAAAAAUGAAUCGAUGUCCAUUUGAAGCUUUUGGAGAAAUUGGCCCUAUGACAUCCAUGCCCCACAUAGAAAAAGGCCACGAAGAAGUCAUGACAUGAAGGGGUGAAGGGGCUACAUGAAUUUUAUCGCCGUAGAUUUGACAUUUGUGGCAUUUUCUGGCAAAAUUGAUGCAGUCACUUUCCAUUGUCAGCCAAUAAUAACCGAGUCUCAUGAUCUUUCUGGCCAUAUUGAAACCAUUGGCAUGCGUUCCGCAAAUUCCCUCAUGGACCUCUUCAAGUAUUUUUCUGGCUUCAACAUCAUCCACACAUCUCAAAAGCAUCUGAUCCUUUCCUCUUUUAUACAGGAUAUCCCCAUCAAGAACAAAUCCCGCUGCCAUUCUUCUAAUUGUUCUUUUAUCGUUCUCAUUCGCUUGUUCGGGAUACCUUUGAUUCUUGGUAUGUUCUAAGAUAUCAUGGAACCAAGGCCGUCCGUCUACUUCUUUCUCAAUGCUACAACAGUGUGCAGGGACCUCGUAUAUGCUCAUUUUGAGGGGCAUUAUUUCUGCUUCUCUACUUGCUUUGAACAUUGAAGCCAAAGUGGCUAGGGCAUCAGCCAGUUGGUUCUCUUCUCGUGGGAAGUAAUGAAAAGUUAUUUCUUUGAAUUCCUUGAUCAAUCCAGCCACUAAAUCGCUGUACUUAAUCAAUUUUGAGUCCCUCACUUCCCAUUCUCCACGGAUUUGGUAAAUCACUAGGGCUGAGUCCCCGUACACCUCCAAGAUCUCGAUGUUUUUUCGAUCGCUGCACGAAGCCCCAUGAUACAGGCCUCAUAUUCUGCGAUAUUAUUGGUACAGAAGAAGUUCAGUCUUGCAGUGAACGGAUAAUGAUUCCCGUCUGGUGAUACCAGGAUUGCUCUAAUUCCAUGCCCUAAAGCAUUUGACGCACCAUCAAAGCACAUCUUCCAUGACUUCUCUUUUGAUGACUCGGAUUCUAUUUCUGUGAUGCACAUUAAGUCUUCGUCUGGGAAAUCGAAUCUUAAAGGCUCAUAUUCCUCUGUCGUUUGAGUUGCUAAGAAGUCAGCUAUUGCGCUCCCUUUUAUUGACUUCUGACUUACAUAGGCAAUGUCAUAUUCCGAAAGGAGGAGCUGCCAUCGUGCCAUUCUUCCUGAUAGUGCCGGCGAUUCCAUCAUGUAUUUUAUUGGGUCCAGCUUUGAAAUUAGCCAUGUCGUGUGAUACAACAUAUAUUUUCUGAGUCUCCGAGCUACCUAAACCAGAGCGCAACAAUAUUUCUCGAUGGACGAAUAUUUUGCCUCAUAUUCAGUGAACUUUUUGCUGAGGUAGUAGAUCGCCUUUUCUUUUCUCCCUGACUCAUCAUGUUGCCCCAGUACGCAACCCAUUGAGUUUUCAAACACGGUCAGGUACAAAAUUAAGGGUUUUCCAAGGGUCGGUGGUACUAGCACAGGAGGAUUAGACAGAUACCGUUUUAUCUUAUCGAAGGCCACCUGGCACUCCUCGUUCCAUUCUCCCGGGUUAUGUUUUCGAAGGAGUCGAAAAAUUCGGUCGCAUUGGUUGGUAAGUUGAGCAAUGAAUCGAGCAAUGUAAUUCAACCUCCCUAAAAAUCCCCUGACUUCCUUUUGUGUGCGCGGGAGAGGUAAUUCUUGGAUGGCUUUUAUUUUAUCUAGAUCAACUUCGAUACCCCUUUAUAAUUGUCUAACCUUCCCUGCAAAUUUCAAAUCACAACCAAUUCCAGUAUUUCAUCUACUUCAUUUAAAUACUAAUGAAUUUCAACCAAUCAACCAUUUCAAACUAAAAACAUGUAUAUAUUUCGAUAUCUAACACAACCAUAACAUUCAAAUUUACUUUGCAUACUUAGUCAUUCAUUCUAUUACUUUUUACUUCAAUUCCUUAUACAUGCCAUAUAAAUCCAAAAAGUUGUUUAACAAAAUCUACCGGAGUAAAUCUGGAUAGUGUGAUUCUUGGUGUAGAUUCGAUCCUCCGAAUGUAUAAAUACGUCAAUCUGUCAACCACAAUCUUUGGUAAGUUCCUUGGUAAUAACUCACUACUACUUAUUCUUUUACCAUAAUUCCUUUGGGCUCAUUUGUCACUUACUAUCCUUGAUCAAAAUUAAGGAACGGUUACGGAAAAUUGAAUACUUCACUUUCACCUUGCCAUAGUACAACUUUGGUCUUACUUAUGAUCACUUGUCAUUUGUCCAUGAUCAGAUAAGUGUAGCUAAGCUACCACUUAUCACUUUGUCACUUGAUCAGAUAAGUGUAGUACUUAUCACUUUUUCACUUGAUCAGAUAAGUGUAGCUAAAGCUACCACUUAUCACUUUGUCUCUUGAUCAGAUAAAUGUAGCACUUAUCACUUUGUUACUUGAUCAGAUAAGUGUAGAUAAAGCUACCACUUAUCUCUUUAUCUCUUGAUUAGAAGUACUCAAAUCCGAUGUUUCGCUUAAUUUGAUCAUUUAUUCGAUUUUCGCAUUUUUAUUUUAUUCUCAUUUCAACAAUAAAUACAUUUCAUCAUACAUUAUAUGGUUCAUGAAAUUAACAUUAAAUCAUUAAAUUUCAGCCAUAUGAACUUACCUGGGUCGAUUUGCUGAAUUUGUAAAAGUUCAGGGACUAAUCAACUACUUUUUCUUUUCCUCGGCUUACUUCGGGUUCUCGAUCUAAAAUAAAAAUUUAUUCAUUCAUCAGCAUAUAAUUCUAUUCUAAUUCAUUUCACAAUUUAUGCCCUUAAAUUUUCAAAAUUACACUUUUACCCCAAACUUUACAGUUUUUACAAUUUGGUCCCUACUCAAUUAACCCCUCAAUUGAUCUAAUUUUUCUCAAUUAACACCUUUUCCAACUAUUUUAGACUACUACAUAGCCUUUCAUAAUCAAAACUGCAACACCAAACCCUAACUCCAAACUUUUCACAAUUAGGUCCCUAAAAUUAAUUUCUACCAAAAUUUCUUAAUAAAAUCAUCAUAUAAUAAAAUUAAAGCUUUAAUUCUAUGAUAAUUCAUCAUAAAAUUCCAGAACUCACUCAUGGUAACUUUCAAAAUCAUUCAUAGAAUCAAAACUAAUGAAUUCAAUAGUUGGACCUAGUUGUAAAAGUCACAAAACAUGAAAAAUUACAAAGAAAAAGCAAGAAUUGAGCUUACAUGAUAUAAAAAUAUGAGAAACCAGCUUGUUUCAGACUUCCUAUGGCGUUUUUGCUGAUAAUUUUUGAAGAGAUCUCUAGAUUUUUCACUUUUAUCUUUGUUUUAUAUAUUUAAUUUGUUAAAUUUCCAAUUUUGCCCUUAUAUCUCCUUACUUUCUGCUGAUUUUUCUUGCCCAACCGUCCAGCCCACAAACUUUAGACCUAAUUACCUUUUAAAUCCCUCCUUAUUAGUCACCUAAGCUAUUUAAUCACAAUUUAACACAUUUUACACUGUUUCCAAUUUAGUCCUUUUUAGUUAAUUAACUAUCCAAACGUUAAAAUUUUCUAACGAAACUUUAUUACCAACUCAAUGACACUCUAUGAAUGUUUCUAAAAAUACUUAUGGCUCGGUUUAAAAUCUUUGAGGUCUCGAUACCUUAUUUUUUAUUUUAAUUAUUUCAAUAUUUAUUAUUAGUACACUAUUCAUUAUUUCAAAAAUUUUCCUAACUUCUCAUUUACUUAUUCUCACUAAAUUAAUAAUAUUUUCUACUCAUUUGUCAGAUUUAGUGAUUUCGAAUCACCAUUCUGACACCACUGAAAAUUCAGGCCAUUACAAAAGUGGUGUAAAAUAAAUACUAUUAUAUAUAGAAGCCAUAUAUGUUAACCCAUUUAAAACCCAAAAUAAAAUCCAUUGCUUCUAAAUUUUAAAUAUAGUUUUUAUUAUACUUUUACAUGUUCUAUAAUUAAAUAAAAAAAUCCUAAGUCUAAUUUUAAUGUCAGUCUCUUACGAAUUCAUUGCUUAUUUAUUAUUGUUAAAACUUUCAAGAAUUCAAGGGUUCAUCUCUUUUUUGCUUAUUAUGUAUUGUUAAAAAUUUUAAAAUUUUGGUUAUCAUUAUUAAUAUUUCCUAGAAAAAAAGGUGACAUCUAUAUAUGAUAACAUGUAAGACCAUAUCUGGGAUAUGGCAUUGUAUGAGCUUUAUGAGCUAUCCGGGUAUCCUUAUCAAUUUCGAAUAGUUCAACGGGCAAAGUCGAGAAGCAAAUGACUAUAUGAAUGAGUUAUAUGAUUUAGGUAUGACAGAUGCUAAAUGAAUCUUGAGAAUGAAAGAUGAGUAUGGAUAGAAGUGAUGAUAUGUGAUUCAUAUGAGAAAGAUAUGUGAUUAAAUGUGUUAUUUCCCAAAAUGUGCUCAUUUGGCUAUAUGAAAGUGAGAAUUGAAUAUUAUAUGAGAAUCGAAUUGAAUAAGCUUGUGAAAGCUAAAGUUAGUAAGUAAGUAAGUAUAUUAUUGAAUGGUGAUGAUUUGAUAUGAAAUCAUGUUAUAAACCUGAGAUAAGUUGUGUUUUGGCAUGUGAGAUAGCAUAUUAUGCUUAUGACAUUGAAUUGAAAUUAUUUGUUAUGUUAAGUUUAUUAAGAUACGAGCUUACUAAGCUUUAUAGCUUACUUUGUGUUGCUUUUCUAUGUUUUAUAGUGAUUCAGAUGUUCGCUUGAGUUGGAAGUUGGCGGAGAUCGCAUCACACUAUCUGGCUAAUGAUUUCAGUAUUUAUACCCUUUAUGACUUGGUUAUAUGGCAUGUAUAGGCUAUGUUAUUUGAUAUUAUGGUUGGAAAUGUAUUUGGUCAUUUGAGAUGGUUGAUUAUGAAUGUGGUAGUGGAAUUUGGUAAUAUUGGCAAUUGAUGCCUAUGUGGUUGAUGUAUUGCUUUUAGCCAUGAGAUUUGGCUAAUUAUUAAUGUAAAGCUUAAUGUGAAGUUACCAUGUAGAUUGGCUUGAGAUGUGAGGUUGGUAUGUGUUAUACGAUAUUUAUAUAUUGCCUUGUAGUUAGGCAUGCUUGAUAUGAAGUUGGUGAUGUCAUAGGGUUGUGUUUUUGGCUAAUAGACAUAUGGUGGAUUAUAGCUUGAGAAAUGGUAUGAUUGUAGCUUGGUUUUAUAAUGAUGAGUUGGUUGAAAUAUGGUCAUGUCUUGUUGUGAUAAUUGACUAAGUAAAUGGCAUAGAUUUGAAUGAUGAAUUGGAAGUGUUUGUAAUGGCAUGAAAUGUGUAUGAGUAAAAGUCAUGAUCAUGUUGUUCUGAUACAUGUUUGGGUAAAUGAAAUGAUUGUAUUGGCAUAUCUUGAAUUAUGCAUAAAUUGAGAUUGUUUUGGUUGCCAAUUGAGUUUAGAAAUCGUACCAUUUUAUCAUGUGUAGGUGUUGGAAAGUUAGAUGGAAAAUGUGGCUUAAACCAAGCCUAUUUUCAUGCCACGUAGUUGAGCACACGGCCAUGUGACUCAACCGUGUGACCUCUACACCUUAAUUAAAUAAGUCAGUCAGUUACACGGUAUAGACACACAGGCAUGUCUAUUGGCCGUGUAUAGCACACGGUCUAGCACACGGGCGUGUGGUCGGCCGUGUGGCCAAGUCAGUAUGUAUGUCCUGUUUUCGCAUAGCCUGAGACAUAGGCGUGUCUACUGGCCAUGUGAGGCACACGGCCUGUUUACACGGGCGUGUGGCCUUUAUAUGCAUGAAAAAUUUUAAAGUUUUCUAAUAUGAUUAGUUUAGUCCCGAACCACUUCUAAGCAUGUUUUAAGGCCUCGAUGAGCCUCAUAAGGGACGAUAUGACUGUGUUUGAUGUUGAUUAUGUGAUAUUGAAUUAUAAAUAAGAAUUAUGUGUUAUAAGCUGAGUUUUGAUCGGUAAUACCUCGUAGCCCUAUUCUGACGAUAGACACAAGUUUAGGGGUGUUACAAGGCACACUUAGAUUUACUCUCGUACUCUCAGAGGAUGAAAGAGUUCUCUAAUUCCUAGACGGUCGAGUACAAAAUAUAUGCUCCAAUUCCUAUAGGGUCGUGAGCAUAUAUUGGUAUAUUGAUCCAUGUACCUGCCCUUGAAUGCAAAAUUGGUUUAUAGGAGCAAAAGAAUGAAAAUGAUAUGCGAUUAUAAUGUAAAGUGCUAUGUGAUUGUGAUAGCCCGAAAUAGGGCCUAAUCGGAAUAGUGGUUUCGUAACCACAAAUCCGAAGUGAAAUAGUUUUAUUUUAUAAAUUUUUAUUAGUUAUUGAUUGAUUGAAAUAUUGUGUGAAAAUAUUGAUAGAAAAUUUUAAUGAUUUAGUGCCUAAUUAAAUUUUUAGGACUAAAUUGAGAAAAAUGCAAAGUGUGUCUAAUUAGUGAUUAAAUGACUUAAUUGAAUUAUUGCAUGAAAUUGGAAGUGUUUAUGUGGCAAUUAGACCAUAAAUUAGUGAUAUGGACACAAAAGGGUAAUUCUAGAAAAAUAUCUAAGUAAUGGGUCAAGGGCAUUUUUGUCCAAAUUAGAAAAAGACAAAAUAAUGAGAAAAUAAGUGUCCAUCUUCUUAAAAAUCAGAAGCUUGCUGCCGAAAUUUUCAUGUCACCAUAGCUAGGGUUCUUGAUCUUCCUAAGCUCAAUUGUAGGUGAUUUCUUGCCCCGUUUUUAAUUAUUUUCGUAUUUUUAUGCUUAUUGAAGCUUGAAUUUCAUGUUUCUACCAUUUAAUUUAAAUGAAAUUAAAGUUUAAAAAUUGACCCAUUCAUGAUAUAAUUCUAAAUUGAUUAGUGAUGUUAGAUAAUGAAUGUUUGAAGUGUUAAUUACAAGUUUUACUAGAUGAAUUUCAAUGAAAAUGUUGAAAAAGGGCUAAAUUAUGAAAGAUGGUAAAGUGUGCAUAAAGUUGUGAUUUUGUGAAAUUUAGGGAUGUUAUGAGCAUGAAGUAUGAUUUAGUGAAGUUUGAAAUUUAAAAAUUUAGUGAAUUUUAUUUUUACGAGCUUAGGGACAAAAGUGGAAUUUUUGAAAAGUUUCGGGGAAAAAUGUAAAUUUGCCAAAAUGUUGUGUAUGAAUUGUAUUUGAAUGAAAUGUUGAUAAAAUGUAUUAAAUUGUGUUAAUAUAUAUCAAGAAAGAAGAAAUAGUGGAAGUGAUCGAGGAAAAGAGAAAGUUAUCGACUAAAUUACAAAAAUAGUCGUUUUGCAUCCGAGGUAAGUUACGUGUAAAUAAUAGUUAUAUUUUUAUAAAUUGUGAAUUAUAUUUGAUAUGUGAAUUAAUAUUCAAUGUGGAACGAAAAUUAUUCAUGAAUUAUUCAAGUGAUAAAGUGUUGAAAAUAAAGUGUUAAGUGUAAAUUCCCGGUUGAACUUAGGAAUAGAAGUGGAUACAAGUGACAUGUCACUAGAGAUCAGUGUUACAGUGUUACAGUGAGUCCCGGGUGCUGGGUGAUCUAGCAUGUGUUGCAGACACCUGACAGCUUGUGUGAGCAGGCCCGUGGACAUUUCCAGUGUUAUUGAUCAGUGGUAGCUUCGGCUACAUAACAGUGGUAGCUUCGGCUACAUAUCAGUGUUGCACUUAUGUGCUAAAUCUCUACGUAUCUGUGUAUAUUCCGAGUGUUCAACGGGAUUAAUAAUGAGUUAAAGUGAAUAUGAAAUGAAGUGUGUAUGCAGGUACAUUUGAAAAGAAUGAGCAUAAGUGAUAAAGGUUAAGUGUGAAAAUGUAUAUGCAAGUGAAUUGGUAAGAUUGUGCAUGUGUAAGUGAUUGAAAUUGCUAGGAAAUGUUUUGAUUAGUUAUAUCUUAAAAGUGUUAAUUAUUAAAUGAGUAAUUAUUGUUUACAUAUAACUUACUAAGCUAUUAGUAGCUUACACCUUCCUUCUUUUCCUUUGUUUUAUAGUGAUUUGAACUUGAUCGAAUUGGGGAUCGUCGGAGCUCGUAUCACACUAUCAUAAUCAUCUCAGUACUGUGUGCUUUUCAAAAUAUUUAAAACUAUGGCAUGUAUAGAGUCUUAAUCAUUUUGAGUAUGUUCAUAUGAUAUGGCUAAGAUUAGCUAUUGAAAUGGUUAGUAAAGAUUAUGUUUUGGUAUUAUGUAUGUGUAAAUGGUAACUAAUUCAAAGAAGCAGUUUCUUUGACAGCAGCAGUGACGUGAAUGUAAAAAUUCACCAUAAAUAGUAGAAAUGGAAUUAGAGAGUGAAUUAUAUAUGGAAUUAAAGCUUAUCAAGUCUAUUUUAUAUGAAAGAAACGUGUAGGCAAAGGAAUCCUGUAUUUUGAGAUAUUUGAAUUUUAGUGAGACAAGGUCAGAAUGAUUUUUGAAGUCCCCUGUUCUGACUUUAGAAAAUCAUUAUAAAUUGCACAGAAAGAAUUAUAAGUCAUAAUUUAUAUGUCUAUAUUCCUUAGUGAGUCUAUUUUCAAAAGAAACAGACGAUAAGCUUAUAUGAAUUCUGUCCAAUAAGAUAAUUGAUUUUUAGUGCCAGGAGGUUAGACCUGUUGAGCCGUGAAACAGGGGAUACUUUAAUGAAUAAAUUGUACUAAUUGGCUAAGUCAAAAAUUCUGAAAAUUUUAUGGUAAGUAGGAAUAUGAGUCUAGUUUCAGGGAAAAUUUACGUAUUUAAAUUAGUGACAGUCAUGCAGGUGGACAGUUUUGUUGUGAACAGUGAAUUUAAUUUUAAAAGCAAAUCUUUAUGCUCCGAAUUGGUAAGUUAAAUUGGUUGACAUCUCGUACUCGAUUCCGGCGACGGUCUCGGGUAAGGGGUGUUACAGUGAUUGUAUAUGAAAUUGAUAUAUGGCCAAACUAUGAUAACUAAACUUGGUUAUUGAUACAUGAAAAUGAGAUUCAAAUUUCCUAAGCGUACAUCAGUACUUUGUGAUUCGAAUAAUGAAAUGAUAUGGUGAAAAUGAGAUACUAUGUACACGAUGUGUAAAAUCUGAGAAAGUUGUAAGCUGGAAUUGUAACACCCCUUACCCGAGAACGUUGCCGGAGUCGAGCAAGAGGUAUUAGUUACCUUAUCUUACUAAUUCGAAGCAUAAAAACUUGUUUUGAAAAUUAAUUUCACUAUUUAUAGCAAUCUGUCCAAUCAUGCAAUAGUUACUAAAUUAAUUAUAAAUCGAGCUACAGAACUCAAAAUUUAAAUCCGUAAAUUUUUCUUGAAACUAGACUCAUAUAUCUACUCACCAUAAAAUUUUUAUAAUUUUUGGUUCAGCCAAUUAGUACAGUUUAUUAGUUAAAAUCUCCCCUAUUUCACCAAUUGACUGCCCUGACCUCUUGUCACUAAAAAUAAAUUUUCUCAUUGUAGGAUUUUCAUAUGGUGUUCUUACUUAUUCCUACAGAAAAUAGACUCAAUAAUUAAUCUAAUAAUGUAAAGUACAGUUCAAAAAUAUUUUUUUUACAAUUUUUAAUGAUUUUCUAAACUCAGAACAGGGGACUCCAAAAAUAGUUCUGACCCUAUCUCACUAAAAUUAACAUAUCUUAAAAUAUAAAUUUCAUUUUUCUAAACCAUUAUUUUUCCUUGAAAAUAGACUCAACAAGCUUUCAUUCCAUAUAUCAUUCACCCUCUAAUUCAUUUUAUACCAUCUUAGGUGAUUUUUCAAAUUCAUGUCACUGUGCUGCCUGAAUUCUAUUUCUUUACAAGAUUUUAUCCUUUCAUGAUUUCCAUGCAUAAUUUAUCACCUGGCCUUUUAUAACAACAAACAUCUUCAUACUUAACCAUUUUAAUAACCAUUCAUCAUCAAAUACUCACACACCAUUCUUUAGCAAAAUCAUAAUUACAAACAUGCAAAAUAACUAAGUCCCUAUACAUGCCAUAACUCAAACAUGUUUCAUCAUAAAAUACCGAGCAAUUGUUCUUGAUAGUGUAGACGAUCUCUGACCUCUUUAGGAUCCUUGAUGCAGCUUUGCAAUACUAUAAGAGAAAGAAAAAUAAAAGAAGUGGCUUCAUUGUCUUGAAACACACUAUUGAAUUUUGAUAAAUCGAGUUUAGAUUCGCAUCCUGACUCUACGCUUAACCCCUUACUACGUCAAAUUGUGUGGUCCCAAUCGAUCGUGAUUAAAUGAGAAACAUUAGCAUAGUAAGAAAAUAUGAAAUUAUGCCAUGUUUUCCACUUAAAGUCAAUGAAAAGAAUUGAGAUGGUUCACAUUCGUAAUGUGACACUUGUACUCAAAUCCGGUGAUCAAAUUCAAUGUGAAGUGUCACAUCUUUAGUUGAUAUGUCCAAGUCUGUGAUGCCACAAGUCUGAGUCACUAAUGAAAGAUUUGUUGCAUGUAGUUUGGCUGAUCAUUCUACAGUAGUUGUGAAGUGACCUUGCCCCUUUCAUUAAGGACCCCUUUUUUUAAUGUAUAACCUCGUAACCAUAUUUGAUGAAGUUGACACGGUAUCCUUGAUCACAUAAUUUAUUAAUGGUAAUUAAAAUAGCCUUAAGUCUCUCCAUGAAGUGAACAUUUUUAACCUAGGGAUUCCUAAAUUUUGAGAAUGUCCAUCCCAAUUAUUUUGCUUUUCCUGCCAUCACCCAAUGUGACAUUUUUUACAUUGCAACUUUGUAAGUACUUCAAAUAAUGUUUAUUACCUAUCAUGUGACGAGAAUAAUCAUUUUCAAAGUAUCAAAUCUUCUUAGUGAUGGCAUUUAAGGACGUAUGGACUAUUUACGGGUGUUGAGUACAUAAAAAAUAAAUUAAAUUUGCAAUAUAGAGAAUAAGGUAGAUCUCACAGAGACUAAUCUGAUCGAUUUUAUUAAAGUUGAUUGAUCAAAUCUGAUGACGAAACUGAUAAGACCGUAAAAAUCAACUUAAACUAAAACUGAAAACAGAAUUAAUGUAUUAUUAAGUACUGAAAUUGUAUAGAAUAGAGUACUUACUGUACAUAAACAACGGUGAUGAAGAAUUAUUAAGUACUAUAAUGAAGACGAGGAGGAAUGCUUUGUUCAUGCUUAAAGAAAUUCUUUGGAUCAGUCUUCGUCUUGACAUAAACAAGCCUAUCAAAAUUAUUCUUGAAAUAUUUACGUCCCCAAUUGCUUGCUUGCUUAUAACUUGUCUUGCCAUAGUAAUUAUUGCUUCCGAUAUCGAGAUCUCUGUAAUUAACAUACGCUUCUCGUGGAGAUUUCGAAACAAAAGGACCCAUGUAGCUAUAAAGUUUGCUCAUCCAGCUUAUAUACCUUUGAGAAUUAUUGUUUUCCUCUUCUUGCCAAGCGAUAACGUAGCUUAUCUUGUAUAAGGUGCCGUUUCGAUGUGGAAAUGGAGUUUCUGUCUCUGAGAUUUCGUCCAUUAUUCCACCGUAAGCAUAAAAGUUUUGAACUGCUGUGCCUCCUUCGUCGACCUCUAGAAGGUGGAGCAAUAGCCCUUGUAAUGCUAUUUCAGGCAUUGGUUCCCUCACGUAAUCUGAUUUUGAUUUGACAAAAGGAGGAAGAAUGGUAUACCUGUUGCUCCUAUCGAGCAAAAUCUCCGAUGUUUCAUUUGAAAGUCCGUUCAUAAACAAUAGAGAUUCGACCCAAGUCAUCUCAAUAAAAUCCUCCUUAACGAGUCCAAGCUCCGGGAAUCGUUCUUGCAUCAAUGGAAUAAACUCAUUGGCACCACCUUGGAACAAUGAAACAAAGGUGGCAAGAACCGUCUUUGUCCCAUUUUCACUGGCGUUCGUCGUUGAUAUCGUAACGACUGGGUAUACAUCAUUCGGAAGAUUGGGUGCAACGUAUUGCCAACGAUGAAGAAGCUGUGUUGCAUUUUGUUCCAAGGUCCUGCCCACUGAGAAAAUAGUCACAGUUGAAGGAACAUGAACCAGCUUUAUUUUCCAUGAAAUAACGAUCCCAAAGCUUCCCCCUCCGCCACCUCGAAUGGCCCAAAACAGAUCUUCACCCAUCGAUCUUCUAUCAAGAACUCUUCCAUUAGCAUCGACCAACUGCGCAUCGAUCACGUUAUCCGCCGAGAGACCAUAUUUUCGGAACAAUGAACCAUCGCCUCCACCGCUAAUGGACCCACCAAUUCCUACAGUGCGGAAAACAGCUGCUGGGAAGGAAAGGUUCGUGCUUCGUUCAUUGAUUCUGUAGUAUACUUCACCCACGGUUGCACCUGAUUGAACCCACGCCUCUUCGUUUUCGACAUCAACAUCGACUGAUCGCAAAUUAACCAAAUCGAUAACAACAAAUGGGACAGGGGAGACAAAGGAAAGACCUUCGAAGUCAUGACCACCACUUCGAGUUCUAAUUUCUAGGCCAUGCUUUUUGGAGCAAUAAAUCGUUGCUUGAACGUGGGAAAUGUUCAAUGGUGUUACAAUAACCAAUGGUUUGGGGGUAUUAGGCGUAGAGAACCUCUGAUUCCUAAUGGAAGAAUUCAAAAGUGCUAAAUAUGAAGAGUUCGUUUCAGUGUAGAUAACUUGAGUAAUGGAAGAGGAUUCAUUGGGAUGAUAUGAAUAAAGGCAUUCAAGAAAAUCAUCGUGGCUAUUAGCUGAAGCAGUCACCCAUGACAAUGAGCAAACAACAAUGAAAAGCAAUGACAGAGAACGGUGAAGGAACUUCAUGUUUAUGGAAGUGAUGAAUUUGUGAAGUUUGCAGCAAGAUAUUCCCCUUAUUUAUAGAGGCAAUGCUUUGAGCCGCCAUGUGAACCAAAGUUCAAGAAACCCAGGUAUUUGAAGUCAGUUCAUAUAUAAUAAUGGCACAUGCUGCUCAUUUCCUUG
This 38792-nucleotide long non-coding RNA is filed under the name Gossypium barbadense (sea-island cotton). Its description in RNAcentral is "long non-coding RNA (GBAR_LNC013874)". Lineage: Eukaryota; Viridiplantae; Streptophyta; Magnoliopsida; Malvales; Malvaceae. The record is from RNAcentral.